RNAcentral lists this long non-coding RNA (728 nucleotides) under Monodelphis domestica (gray short-tailed opossum). RNAcentral's name for it is "lncRNA (ENSMODG00000041769.1)". The record is from RNAcentral. Lineage: Eukaryota; Metazoa; Chordata; Mammalia; Didelphimorphia; Didelphidae.
CUGAACACUUAAAUGACUUCAUACAGUGUCAUUAGGUAUCAUGGGUAGACUUUGAACUUGUGUCUUCUUGGCUUCAAGGACAGCUUUUUAUCCAUGACACUAUAUUGGGUCAAAAAUCCUGCCUACAUAUAAUAACAGACUCAAAAGACUAGGAUGUAAGAGUUGGAAGGGACCUUAAUCAUUUAGCCACUCAGUCUGUUUUUCCACCUGUAAAAUGGGUAUAAUAAUGCUUUUGCUAUUGGCCUCUCUAUGAGAAAAACAUUUUAUAAAUCUUAAAGAGCAGUAGGAAUAUGAUAUUGUUAUUAAAUCUUCAAGUCCCAAACUCUCAUUUUACAAUUGAGGAUGUGAAGCCUGGAGAAUAUAGGCCACUUGUCCAUAGUUGCCACCACUGGAUAAUGGCAGAAAUGUGACCAGAACCUCGACUUUCCAAUCUUUUUUUCCCCAAUCUUUUAAUUCCAAAGCCUGGACCGGGAUUGAAUAGAAAUUGCUGACACUGCUCCUUUUCUACCAGGUAUCAUCACAGAGAAGGCACCAUGGUUUUGGUGAAGCAUUCUCAGUAUCUCAACAAGAAUGAAACAAAGAAAAAAAUCCCACCCAGCCCCCAGUUUCCUUUAGUAAUUGCCUCAAUAUCUGCUGUCAUUUUUUUAGAAGUCAAUUUCAUCAUGUCAAUAACUUCCGGUACUAUUUGCCUUAAAUGGCUUAAGUUCUUUCUCUGGAGGUGGACAUAG